This 265-nucleotide long non-coding RNA is filed under the name Callithrix jacchus (white-tufted-ear marmoset). RNAcentral's name for it is "lncRNA (ENSCJAG00000076161.1)". The record is from RNAcentral. Lineage: Eukaryota; Metazoa; Chordata; Mammalia; Primates; Cebidae.
CCCUGGCUACUGUCUAUGUUCACUCAAGGCUGUGGGGCUAGACAAUCAGCAGGUGGCAAGCCAUCCUAAGCCUGUAUCUUUCCCUUCAGGGCAGGAAAUGAUAUUCCCCAUUCACCAGCUGAGCUGGCACUCAAGCCACAAGACAGAGUCCUUCCCAUUCUUCCCUGCUCUUUCCACUCAAGUCAGAGGAGCCUCACCACACAGCAGCUGGAGAGGGUCUCCACAGCAGAACACUGCGGCUGGAGGUGAGGAAGGAGUGGCGUAA